Molecule: long non-coding RNA, 1199 nt
Organism: Bombus huntii
Lineage: Eukaryota; Metazoa; Arthropoda; Insecta; Hymenoptera; Apidae
Exons: 2
Source: RefSeq, a predicted model, not a curated record
UUAAUUGCUUUUUCCCUGACAGUCCUUGCCACCCAUCAAAUCGAGGCCUCUACAGUGAAUUAGACACGGAAACAACAGAAAGUGUUUUCAGAAGGAAAGCUAGAACUCACUUCAUCUAGAUAUACACAUGUAUGUAGUUCUUUGAUAGCUUUCUUUGAUAACAUUAUGAUAACUUUCUUUGAUAGUACUUUGACAGACUAACAAUAAGUAAUUGAACUACUACUCAUUAGUGGUAUACUGUGGUCUAUACCGAUACUAUGGUCGAACAGUCUUUAAUCCAUAAAAAUGGUUCACUAUGACACAAAAGCUUAUAAUUUUCUCGUGAAUUUUUGUACCCAGUCUUGUAUUUAUAAUUUCGUUAUCGACUUCAACGUGUCGAUUCCUAGUAACUAUUUCAUUUAGUUGGUUUGUACUAAAUAAUUUUUAGCCCAGUUUGCUUGCUAUAUCUUCAGAUUGUCAGAGCUUUAGUGUGUGACAGAGCUACUUAUCUUUGAAUAAGUUCUACACCUAAUUUAAUUUCUAUACUUUCAUUUAGCGAUCACUUAUCUAUCAAAUGGUUCAUUUUAUUCGAUGAUUCACUUUGAUACGAAUUUUAUGAGGCACAGUGAUCUGGUAACCAGUUCAGUUCUCUGAUAGAUAAUUCUCUUUGAUAGGUUGGCUUUGUACCAAUCAGAUCGUAUCAGAGAACCGUCUAGUAAUUAUCUAUCUGAUACAGCUCUAUUGUAGAACAUCAACGAUCUGGUUAUAUGAUUAUAUAAUUAGAAAAUUGAUACGUCUCAAAGAUAGACUCGACGUUAAGUCACUUUUAACAAUCUAUGAUCUGUGAACGUUUAGAUUCUUUUGUACUUUACACGGAGGCACGUUGUAUUCUGCAAUUAACACUCUUAUAUAACAUUCUAAUAUUCUAAACAAUGAGAAUAUCCAAUAUCAAAACUGAAUCAGAAUGAAACCACUGAAGAACCAUGCGCAACAUACAUUCUACCCUGAUCUGGACCUUGAAAACGGAAGUUCUAGUUCGUAUUCAGUCUAUUACAUUUUCCGGCUACAGCGUUCCUUUUUCCUCAUAAAGAGUUUAUACAAGGAAGGAUGUCUCACAGGAAGAAACUCAUCUGAAUACACAUUCAUUAAAACUCUCUCAAUUUUUUGCUGUUAACUUUAGAAUCGACUAAAUAGAUGAACGACGUAGCAAGUGAACCAUA